Molecule: transfer RNA, 68 nt
Filed under: Phymorhynchus buccinoides
Lineage: Eukaryota; Metazoa; Mollusca; Gastropoda; Neogastropoda; Raphitomidae
Description: tRNA-Arg
Rfam family: tRNA
About the family: Transfer RNA (tRNA) molecules are approximately 80 nucleotides in length. Their secondary structure includes four short double-helical elements and three loops (D, anti-codon, and T loops).
Source: RNAcentral
GUAUAAAAAGCGAAACUUCGCAUCUAGCUUCGGAUUAGAUUUUGGAGGUGUAAUUCCUUCUUUAUAUU